UCAGGACUCGGGAGUCGGCUGGGGGGAGAUACUUCUUUGACGUUACUGAUUGCUGUCCCAAGAGGACGAAAGGGAAUCGGGGGAGAGGAACGUUGCCUUUCCGCCUGAUCCGGUUCGCGAGAGAUCUCGAAGAGCUAGAGUUGUGUCCUCCAUAGGACACAACCAAACAAGAACAAUUAUAACAAAUACAAACUUAGAGUUUUCAGUUUAGAAUUGGGACAAUGCCUUCUCAGAAAAUAGAAACGGGUCACCAGGAUGUGGUUCAUGAUGUGUCGAUGGACUACUAUGGCAAGCGCCUGGCCACAGCCUCUUCUGACUCUACCAUCAAGAUUAUUGGAGUGAGUGGCUCCUCACAUCAGCACCUUGCUACCUUGACUGGUCACCAGGGUCCAGUCUGGCUGGUCGCAUGGGCCCACCCUAAGUUUGGAUCCAUGCUUGCCUCUUGCAGCUAUGAUAGCCGUGUGAUCAUAUGGAAGGAAGGGAGCAAGCCUGAUGAGUGGACUCAGGCGCACAUUUUUGCUGAGCACAAGUCCUCUGUCAAUUCAAUUGCGUGGGCGCCACAUGAACUUGGCCUCUGCUUGGCAUGUGGUUCCUCCGAUGGGAACAUCUCAGUCUUCACUGCUCGAACUGAUGGAGGCUGGGACACUACUAGGAUCGACCAGGCCCACCCAGUUGGAGUCACUUCUGUCUCAUGGGCUCCAGCAAUGGCACCAGGUGCCCUUGUAGGUUCAGGACAGUUUGAUCCUGUCCAGAAGCUUGCAUCCGGUGGCUGUGAUAACACGGUUAAAGUGUGGAAGCUUUACAAUGGGAGUUGGAAGUUGGAUUGUUUUCCUGCUCUUCAGAUGCACACUGACUGGGUGAGAGAUGUGGCUUGGGCACCAAAUUUGGGGCUUCCAAAGACUACCAUUGCUAGUGCUUCGCAGGAUGGGACUGUGGUUAUAUGGACAGUGGCGAAGGAAGGUGAUCAGUGGGAGGGUAAAGUUCUGCAUGAUUUUAAGGCCCCUGUUUGGAGGGUGUCAUGGUCAUUGACAGGGAACAUCUUGGCUGUGGCUGAUGGGAAUAACAAUGUCACAUUGUGGAAAGAAGCAGUGGAUGGAGAGUGGCAGCAGGUGACAACAGUUGAGCCAUAGAGAUUGAUAUUACUGCUUGGACUUCCUUUUCCCAUUACCAUUGGAUGAUCUCUGGCAACAUUUUGGGACGUAUGGUAACAUCAAGAGAAGCUUGAAGCUUGAUAUAUACGUAAUCAACUGUUGACAAUAAAGGACGCAAAAGAUGGGGAACGAGGUGCUUAUAAACCGUGGUCACAUUAAUUAGCAAAUUGAUGUGACUUAACUUGAUACUUGCCCUUCUUGUUCCUGGGUUUGGUCCUUGGGUUUUGUCUUGCGCCCUUGUACUUUCUUCUGGCCAACUAUUUAGGGGUUUUCAUACGUACCCCUUUAAAGGCUCAGCAAGCCAAUGUUUCCCACGCGUUACGUUUCAAAAUACCUAUUUCCUUUUACAGAUCUAACAUCGUUCUAAAGAAAAUAAAUUAGAUUGUGCAGAAUCUUACCA
Molecule: non-coding RNA, 1551 nt
Organism: Elaeis guineensis (African oil palm)
Lineage: Eukaryota; Viridiplantae; Streptophyta; Magnoliopsida; Arecales; Arecaceae
Source: RefSeq, a predicted model, not a curated record